AGAGUUUGAUCCUGGCUCAGAUUGAACGCUGGCGGCAGGCUUAACACAUGCAAGUCGAGCGGGGUGAUGUAGCUUGCUACAUUACCUAGCGGCGGACGGGUGAGUAAUGCUUAGGAAUCUGCCUAUUAGUGGGGGACAACAUUCCGAAAGGAAUGCUAAUACCGCAUACGCCCUACGGGGGAAAGCAGGGGAUCUUCGGACCUUGCGCUAAUAGAUGAGCCUAAGUCAGAUUAGCUAGUUGGUGGGGUAAAGGCCUACCAAGGCGACGAUCUGUAGCGGGUCUGAGAGGAUGAUCCGCCACACUGGGACUGAGACACGGCCCAGACUCCUACGGGAGGCAGCAGUGGGGAAUAUUGGACAAUGGGCGCAAGCCUGAUCCAGCCAUGCCGCGUGUGUGAAGAAGGCCUUUUGGUUGUAAAGCACUUUAAGCGAGGAGGAGGCUACCGAGAUUAAUACUCUUGGAUAGUGGACGUUACUCGCAGAAUAAGCACCGGCUAACUCUGUGCCAGCAGCCGCGGUAAUACAGAGGGUGCGAGCGUUAAUCGGAUUUACUGGGCGUAAAGCGUGCGUAGGCGGCUUUUUAAGUCGGAUGUGAAAUCCCUGAGCUUAACUUAGGAAUUGCAUUCGAUACUGGGAAGCUAGAGUAUGGGAGAGGAUGGUAGAAUUCCAGGUGUAGCGGUGAAAUGCGUAG
This 691-nucleotide ribosomal RNA is filed under the name uncultured bacterium. Its description in RNAcentral is "bacterial SSU rRNA". It matches the Rfam family "Bacterial small subunit ribosomal RNA", at positions 8 to 693 of the family's 1533-position model. The record is from RNAcentral.